Molecule: ribosomal RNA, 404 nt
Filed under: uncultured bacterium
Lineage: Bacteria
Description: partial 16S ribosomal RNA
Rfam family: Bacterial small subunit ribosomal RNA
Source: RNAcentral
AUUGAACGCUGGCGGCAGGCCUAACACAUGCAAGUCGAGCGCGCGGCGGACGGGUGAGUAAUGCCUGGGAAUUGCCCAGUCGAGGGGGGUAACAGUUGGAAACGACUGCUCAUACCGCAUACGUUUGGCUUGCCCAGGUGGGAUUAGCUAGUUGGUGAGGUAAUGGCUCACCAAGGCGACGCUCCCUAGCUGGUCUGAGAGGAGGAUCAGCGACACUGGAACUGAGACACGGUCCAGAAUCCGACGGGAGGCAGCAGUGGGGAAUAUGGCACAAUGGGGGAAACCCGGAUGCAGCCAUGCCGCGUGUGUGAAGAAGGCCUUCGGGUUGUAAAGCAGUUGCAGCGAGGAGGCGGUACUCGCAGAAGAAGCACCGGCGAACUCCGUGCCAGCCGCCGCGGUAAUUC